This 497-nucleotide ribosomal RNA is filed under the name uncultured bacterium. RNAcentral's name for it is "partial 16S ribosomal RNA". It matches the Rfam family "Bacterial small subunit ribosomal RNA", at positions 28 to 507 of the family's 1533-position model. The record is from RNAcentral.
GAUGAACGCUGGCGGCGUGCCUAACACAUGCCAGUCGAGCGAACAGACGAGGCGUUUGCUCCUCUCACGUUAGCGGCGGACGGGUGAGUAACACGUGUAUAACCUACCUAUAAGACUGGGAUCACCUCGGGAAACCGGAGCUAAUACCGGAUAAUAUAUUGAACCGCAGGGUUCAAUAGUGAAAGACGGUUUUGCUGUCACUAAUAGAUGGAUCUGCGCCGCAUUAGCUAGUUGGAAGGGUAACGGCUUACCAAGGCAACGAUGCGUAGCCGACCUGAGAGGGUGGUCGGCCACACGGGAGCUGAGACACGGUCCAGAGUCCUACGGGAGGCAGCAGUAGGGAAUGUUAGGCAGUGGGCGAAAGCCUGACGCAGCGACGCCGCGUGUGUGAUGAAGGUCUUCGGAUCGUAAAGCUCUGUUAUGGGGGAAGAACAGAUGUGUAAGUAGCUGUGCAGGUCUUGACGGUACCGAGUCAGGAAGCAACGGCUAACUACGUG